Molecule: long non-coding RNA, 201 nt
Filed under: Lathyrus oleraceus (garden pea)
Lineage: Eukaryota; Viridiplantae; Streptophyta; Magnoliopsida; Fabales; Fabaceae
Description: Pisum sativum (pea) long non-coding RNA (PSAT_LNC002521)
Source: RNAcentral
UUCUUUUCACAUCGUAUUCACAAAAUAGAUGUUUCUCUUUUCUAAUUUUUUUUUUCAAUGCUUGCUCGGUUAUUCAAGAGUUGUGGCACCUACUGAUUCUCAUUUUCGUUCUCCCCAACUUAUCUUUUACUCACCCCAAGUGAAUGCUCUUGACUUUUUACGGCAAAAGAACAAUUAUCAAAAAUUUCAGGGUUUCAAGAA